This is a long non-coding RNA of Sorex araneus (European shrew), 807 nucleotides long. RefSeq lists it as uncharacterized. The transcript is spliced from 4 exons. The record is from RefSeq and is a predicted model, not a curated record. Lineage: Eukaryota; Metazoa; Chordata; Mammalia; Eulipotyphla; Soricidae.
GGGGGAGGAGGCACGGGAGAAGCCUGGAAACCAGCAGAGAGCACCCCGGGGUGGAUGCCUGGGAAGCUGGAGGAGCUAAAAUGAUGGCUGGACUCGCAAGAGAAUGUGACCCUGAGGACCGACUUCUGCUCCCCAAGAGAGACAAGUCAGCAACCUACACAGGGGGAGGGUUCCCCGGAUCCGGGUUGGAGUCCAAUAGCUGGCUGGGGUUGGACAAGCUAGAUGGGGGUGCUUACCUGGGUUCUCUGGGGAAACUCAGGUUGCAUUUGGGAGAACCUGGGUCCCAGAAACUCCCUAACCUCAGCUCCUCCGGGCUCCUCCUGUUCUCGCCUGGCCAGAAGAGUGAAACCGGGGCUGGCAGCUCAAAAAAGAAGGCUUUGUUCUGAAACUUCAGGAUCCCAGGAUGAGGGGUACACAGAGACAGGAUACCAGAGACGGAGAGAUGGAGCCGCUCAGAGAGGCUCCAAGAGACCCAUAAACCCAAGAUCCCAGAAACAUGGGCAGGGAACCCCGGAGCAGGCAGAAACGCGAAGCCGCUUCGAAGAUUGUGGAAGAGCCAGAGUGUGCAAGGUAGGGGGGCUGCCCCAGUGGAGCCUGCCCCCCGCGCGCAGAGGUCACACUCGGCAAUGCACAGAGGUUACUCCUGGCUCUGCACUCAGGAAUUACUCCUUGCGGUGCUCAUGGGACCCAUAUGGGAUGCUGGGACUCAAACCCGGGUUGGUCACACAAGGCAAACACCCUACCUGCUGUGCUAUCUCUCCAGCCCCUCUUAUUUCCCAUUUUCUAAAAUAUACUGGCUAGAAUAUU